Molecule: long non-coding RNA, 1653 nt
Filed under: Homo sapiens (human)
Lineage: Eukaryota; Metazoa; Chordata; Mammalia; Primates; Hominidae
Description: non-protein coding CDKN2B-AS1:78
Source: RNAcentral
GUACUUAGGCAAUCGGGAUCUUGCUUUAAGAAAAGGUAGGCAUUGGAGUCAGGCUGCUGGAGUAUGAAUCACUAUGCUAUCAUUUUUCAUUUGUUUUUGCUCUGUUACAUUAGGAAAGUUAUGUAGAAUUUUGUGCCUCAGUUUCCUCAUUCAAUAUGGGUGUAAUAACUGUGCCUGUCUUGUAGGAUUAUUGUGAGGCCCAAGUGCAAUAAUAUAUAGUACACUGUGUCUGGCAUCUAGUAAGCAUUCAUUAAGAUGACAUGAAGAUAACACAGAUAUAUCUUAACAUGUAAUUAUGAUUUUGCUUAUUCAAGGCCAAGCAUUCCAAUUUAAUGGAGUUAGGCAAACACAGUAAAUUCAUUGCUCUUUCCUUUUUAUGCUACUUCCUUUGAAGAGGCAGUCAAGUUCCAUUUGACUGAUUCGGAACUUUUUAGCAAUGUAUAUUAUGCUGACUUCACUCUUAUGCGCUCUUGGGGCUAUAAUUCAUCAAGUUAGGCGAGCAAAGAAGUGUGUUGGUGAAAGAGAAAUGAGGAAGAACAAGGAAGAAAAAAAGGGUCAUGAGCUUAUUCACUGCCAAUAUUUAUUAUAUGGAACAAUGACCAUCCUUCAGAAGUGUUUGUUCUCUAUUAUACUGUAGGUGUGGAAGAAUUAUCAUUGCUCAAUAGCUGUCUCAGUCACUACCUGAUAGACUUGGGAGGUCUGGCUAUUUCAGGGCGCAUUUGACAUACAGUGACAUUUUUGGAUUAAAGCUUUCAUGAUGAGUGCCAGUCUGGGUCCAAAAGGGUUGAAAGCUGUCGCCAUCUAUAGGCUAGUUGUUUGUAGUAAAAUACUUUCCCUCACUGCAUUAGGUUCUUGGUACCAUUUAUCUAGCAGAGUUCUUCAGUGGGCUUGAGGCUUAGCAGUCAAGUUAAAACAAUAACCAACAUCCCAAACCCAGUGGCUGUCAAAUUUCAGUGAGGUGGCAUAGAACUUUAGCAUGAACUUGAGCUUGGGUUCAGCUAGACUUUCAUAUAAAUCCUUGUUUGAAGUUAGUAGCUGUGUGAUCUUGGGCACUGAUAUUAAACCUUUAUGAGAAAGUUAUGUCUGAAAUAUGGGAAAUAAACCUUCCACUUAGGUUGUUGUGAAGAUUCAAUGAGUUGUAACGAUUGUAUACACUAUAAUGAUCUAUAUUACAGUUGUUUCAUAAAUAUGAUUGCCUUCAUUUUAUUCUUUCCUUGUCUCGUUCUUCCCAGUAUCUUACAGACAGCAAGUUGAACAUUGUGGGAUGCAUGAGCUAUUGAGGCCUUUGCAGCUUUCUGCUACAUGGAGGCUAGGGCCAGAGUCAAGAUUUAUGCUUUGCAGCACACUGGUCAGCUGUUUUUGCAAAUCAGAUUAAAUGAUUUUUAAAUGAGGCUGAGAGCAUGGGAGAUACUAAUGUGUGUUUCCUUGUGAGCUACUGCAUAAGUUAGGAAAUUGAAAUACAGAAAGAUGAAAAGUGAUUUGCCCAAGCAUAUAGAUCAAAGCUGUGGCAGAACCAGGACUGGAACCUAUAUCUCUCUACUAAUGGUUUUUUUAAAAAAAUAACCUUGUUUCAAAAAUAUUAAAAAGUCACAAGAAAGGUAAACAUGUGGAUAAACAAAAUGAAGAAAAUAAAAAUUAUCCAGUAAUAACAUA